This 425-nucleotide ribosomal RNA is filed under the name uncultured bacterium. RNAcentral describes it as "partial 16S ribosomal RNA". It matches the Rfam family "Bacterial small subunit ribosomal RNA", at positions 354 to 796 of the family's 1533-position model. The record is from RNAcentral.
GUUAGGAAUAUUAGACAAUGGGCGCAAGCCUGAUCCAGCCAUGCCGCGUGAGUGAUGAAGGCCUUCGGGUUGUAAAGCUCUUUAGUCCACGAAUAUAAUGACUGUAGUGGAAGAAUAAGCCCCGGCUAACUUCGUGCCAGCAGCCGCGGUAAUACGAAGGGGGCGAGCGUUAUUCGGAAUCACUGGGCGUAAAGCGUGCGUAGGCUGUUUUGUAAGUCAGAAGUGAAAGCCCAGGGCUUAACCCUGGAAUUGCUUUUGAAACUACAAGACUCGAAUUCGGGAGAGGAUAGCGGAAUUGUCAGUGUAGCAGUGAAAUGCGUAGAUAUUGACAGGAACACCAGUGGCGCAAGCGGCUAUCUGGACCGAUAUUGACGCUGAGGCACGAAAGCGUGGGGAGCAAACAGGAUUAGAAACCCGUGUAGUCC